This 522-nucleotide ribosomal RNA is filed under the name uncultured bacterium. RNAcentral's name for it is "bacterial SSU rRNA". It matches the Rfam family "Bacterial small subunit ribosomal RNA", at positions 29 to 533 of the family's 1533-position model. The record is from RNAcentral.
AUGAACGCUGGCGGCGUGCCUAAUACAUGCAAGUCGAGCGAACAGAUAAGGAGCUUGCUCCUUUGACGUUAGCGGCGGACGGGUGAGUAACACGUGGGUAACCUACCUAUAAGACUGGAAUAACUCCGGGAAACCGGGGCUAAUGCCGGAUAAUAUUUAGAACCGCAUGGUUCUAAAGUGAAAGAUGGUUUUGCUAUCACUUAUAGAUGGACCCGCGCCGUAUUAGCUAGUUGGUGGGGUAAUGGCUUACCAAGGCAACGAUACGUAGCCGACCUGAGAGGGUGAUCGGCCACACUGGAACUGAGACACGGUCCAGACUCCUACGGGAGGCAGCAGUAGGGAAUCUUCCGCAAUGGGCGAAAGCCUGACGGAGCAACGCCGCGUGAGUGAUGAAGGUCUUCGGAUCGUAAAACUCUGUUAUUAGGGAAGAACAAAUGUGUAAGUAACUGUGCACGUCUUGACGGUACCUAAUCAGAAAGCCACGGCUAACUACGUGCCAGCAGCCGCGGUAAUACGUAGGUG